This 317-nucleotide non-coding RNA is filed under the name Chloroflexi bacterium RBG_19FT_COMBO_62_14. Its description in RNAcentral is "bacterial SSU rRNA". It matches the Rfam family "Bacterial small subunit ribosomal RNA", at positions 1 to 308 of the family's 1533-position model. The record is from RNAcentral. Lineage: Bacteria; Bacillati; Chloroflexota.
UUUACGGAGAGUUUGAUCCUGGCUCAGGAUGAACGCUGGCGGCGUGCCUAAUACAUGCAAGUCGAACGAGGGCACUCUUGUAGCAAUACGGGGGUGUUCCUAGUGGCGAAUGGGUGAGUAACACGUAGGUGACCUGCCCCAAAGUGGGGGAUAACGGUUCGAAAGGACUGCUAAUACCCCAUGUGAUCCAGAGGGUUAGAGGCUUCUGGAUGAAAGGAGCAAUCCGCUUUGGGAGGGGCCUGCGGCCCAUCAGCUUGUUGGUAGGGUAACGGCCUACCAAGGCGACGACGGGUAGGGGGCCUGAGAGGGUGGUCCCC